Molecule: long non-coding RNA, 141 nt
Filed under: dengue virus type 2
Lineage: Riboviria; Orthornavirae; Kitrinoviricota; Flasuviricetes; Amarillovirales; Flaviviridae
Description: Dengue virus type 2 partial sfRNA3
Rfam family: Flavivirus DB element (bases 6-77)
About the family: These DB elements are thought to be required for efficient translation.
Source: RNAcentral
AUCUGGGAGGCCACAAACCAUGGAAGCUGUACGCAUGGCGUAGUGGACUAGCGGUUAGAGGAGACCCCUCCCUUGCAAGUCGCAGCAACAAUGGGGGCCCAAGGUGAGAUGAAGCUGUAAUCUCACUGGAAGGACUAGAGG